Grus americana (Whooping crane) is the source of this 1108-nucleotide long non-coding RNA. RefSeq lists it as uncharacterized. The record is from RefSeq and is a predicted model, not a curated record. The transcript is spliced from 4 exons. Lineage: Eukaryota; Metazoa; Chordata; Aves; Gruiformes; Gruidae.
CUGACCCAAACUGACCAAAGGGAUAUUCCAUACCAUAUGAUGUCUGCUCAGCAAUAAGAAACUGAGAGAUAGGGGGAGGAACGGGGCAGGGGCAUUCACUGGUUUUUUUGUGGUUCCCCCCCCCCGACAUUUGUCUUCUGGAGUAAUAAGUACACGUACUGAAGCCCUGCUUCUCAGGAAGUGGCUGGACAUCGCCUGCCGAUGGGAGAGAAUCCACCUUAAUCACAGGCAGAUCUAGACACAGCUUCCAUGACUAGAAUCAACAGAACUACAGUUUUGACGAGGAAUCAUUUAAAUUGUGAAGGAAAACCAGCAAAAAGGAAUGAAGCCAGACAUGUAUGUUUUCCGGUACCUUUGCAGUGAGAUUGAAGCAACCUUUUGGUUCCACAAUUUUCUCCAGGACAAAGGAUUUGAUUCCUGCGCUGCUGACAUACUCAUACACCACCCCAUGCUCCAGAGCUGAUGCCAGCUGGCUCCAAGAUGGACCCGCUGCUGGCCAAGGCCAAGAUGGUCAGCGAUGGUGGUAGCGCCUCUGGGAUAACAUAUUUAAGGGAAAAAAAUUGCUGCGGAAACAGCAGUGGAGAGAGGAGUGAGAUGUGAGAGGAACAACUCUGCAGACACCAAGGUCAGUGAAGAAGGAGGGGGAGGAGGUGCUCCAGGUGCCAGAGCAGAGAUUCCCCUGCAGCCCAUGGAGAAGACCAUGGUGAAGCAGGCUGUACCCCUGCAGCCCACAGAGGAUGAUGGUGGAGCAGAUAUCCACCUGCAGCCCAUGGAGGACCCCAUGCUGGAGCAGGUGGAUGCACCCGAAGGAGGCUGUGACCCCAUGGCAACCCUGCGCUGGACCAGGCUCCUGGCAGGACUUGUGGACCCAUGAAGAGAGGAGCCCAUGCUGGAGCAGGUUUGCUGGCAGGACUUGUAAUCCCAUGGAAGGGAACCAUGCUGGAGCAGUUUGUGAAGAACUGCAGCCUGUGGGAAGGACUCACGUUGGAGAAGUUCUUGGAGGACUGUCUCCUGUGGGAGGGACCCCACACUGGAGCAGGGGAAGAGUGUGAGAAGUCCUCCCCCUGAGGAGGAAGGAGCAGUAGAGACAAUGUGUGAUGAACUGACC